This 431-nucleotide long non-coding RNA is filed under the name Gossypium barbadense (sea-island cotton). RNAcentral's name for it is "long non-coding RNA (GBAR_LNC000765)". The record is from RNAcentral. Lineage: Eukaryota; Viridiplantae; Streptophyta; Magnoliopsida; Malvales; Malvaceae.
UUGAAAUUCCAUUUGUAAAUUUUAUUAAAUUCAUGGAACUCAGCAUACAUACAUAUAUUUAUGUAUAUGUCUACAACUUGUACUUUUACGAUAACAGUGAAUUUAGUGCUUAAAAUGUUGAUGUAGUUUGAAAUCUUGUGCCACAUCCUUUGCCUGGAAUCCACCUUAUGGUGUGCAGGCACCUGAAGUUGAUCCAUCCUGCAAUCACAAAACAAACCAUAUUUUUUUACUAUAUACCUAACUUCGAAGGUUUACAGAUAUUUAAGAGUGGGGUUGGACACAAAUAAUUGAGCUCAAAAUACAUAUAAAAAUAUGGUUUAUAUUAAUCUAAGAACUAUAUUCAUUGCAAAAUGUAAUUUUGACUUACCACACAUGCAUGAAUAUCAUCACAUCCACAUAAUAGCUUCCCAUUCAAAGUAUCGACAGCUUGG